RNAcentral lists this unclassified non-coding RNA (265 nucleotides) under uncultured fungus. RNAcentral's name for it is "sequence contains ITS1". Lineage: Eukaryota; Fungi. The record is from RNAcentral.
GUAUUUGUUUUUUAAAGGCACAAGGCCAAUGACGACAUUCAAAAUACAUUCAUGUGGGGUAUAUAGAAACAUAGACCUGAAUACAAGAAGAGCUGGCCUUUUGUUGCACAGCAAUUCUCAAACCGAGUUUCCUCGAGAGUAUCAGAUCUACGCAAGGUGCACAGGUGGUUAAAAAUGGAGUCGGUGUGCACAUGCUCCUAAGAGCCAGCAACAACCUAACCAAGUUUAUUCAAUAAUGAUCCUUCCGCAGGUUCACCUACGGAAA